Molecule: ribosomal RNA, 489 nt
Filed under: Papilio paris detanii
Lineage: Eukaryota; Metazoa; Arthropoda; Insecta; Lepidoptera; Papilionidae
Description: partial 16S ribosomal RNA
Source: RNAcentral
AAACAUGUCUUUUUGUGAAUAAUUUAAAGUUUAAUCUGCCCACUGAUNAAAUUAUUAAAGGGCUGCAGUAUUUUGACUGUACAAAGGUAGCAUAAUCAUUAGUCUCUUAAUUGGUGACUUGUAUGAAAGAUUGGAUGAAAUAUAUACUGUCUCUAAUUAAUUUAUAAAAUUUAAUUUUUUAGUAAAAAAGCUAAAAUAAGUUUAAAAGACGAGAAGACCCUAUAGAGUUUAAUAAUUUAUUUAAUUAUUAUUAAUAUUUAAAUUUUAAAGUUAAAAUUAAAUAAAUUAUUUUGUUGGGGUGAUAGAAAAAUUAAAUUAACUUUUUUUUUAUUUUAUACAUAAAUUUAUGAAUAGAUGAUCCAUUAAUAAUGAUUAAAAGAAAAAAUUACCUUAGGGAUAACAGCGUAAUUUUUUUUUUUAGUUCAAAUAGGAAAAAAAGUUUGCGACCUCGAUGUUGGAUUAAGAUAAAAUUUAAAUGCAAAAGUUAAA